Boleophthalmus pectinirostris (great blue-spotted mudskipper) is the source of this 381-nucleotide long non-coding RNA. RefSeq lists it as uncharacterized. The transcript has 3 exons. Lineage: Eukaryota; Metazoa; Chordata; Actinopteri; Gobiiformes; Gobiidae. The record is from RefSeq and is a predicted model, not a curated record.
GUUAGAGAUGCACACCUGGUUGAGAAGCAGUAUGUGGCAUGUCACAAACCCAGCCAAUUAAAGUUAAAAUAAAGGGAAUAAACUAGUUUAAAAGUCAUUCUACUUCCAAAGUAUGGUUCGACGGUGGUGUUGGUGAUGUUGGUGGCAUCAGAGGCCUUUAAGUCUCAAGAUUGUACAAGCCACAAUAAAGAUUAAUCAAGCCAUCAGUAAAAAGAACUCUUUAUUGACAACACGAGGAGGUGGUGUGUUGUAUUUGGAGUGAUUCGUGCAUGUUUGAGUCAUCUUUAUUCUCCUCUAAAGUCUCUUUUUCACGCUUACAUCACAAACCAGGAAGAUGUACGGAAAGAUGUGAUUUCAACUUCCCAGGCCCAGUUUUCUUCA